UGGCAUAGCUUACCAUAUGAAGAAAGCAACAGGAACUUUUAAUCACAUCUGCUCGUUUUAUAGUAAAACAUUAAAAAUGCUUCGCUGACCGCAGAGAUCGAACCCUGAACAGUUGGGGCAAAUUUGGACAUAAUAUUAAAGCUUGAUACUAUCUGAAUUUGGAUUGUGAUCAAAUUUAUGACGUUAUAUAGGUUUCUGACACAAGGUAAAUGUGGUCGAAGAUCUUAAAUCGUAUGCGCAAUACUGUGCAACUGAAGGUUUCUUCCCGCCCAUAACAUUUUGUUUUCCUUCUAGGAUAAAUAACCAUCAAACCAAAUCCCAGUCUUUCCUUUCUGGUAAUGAACCUUGUAGUACAAUUUUAGAGAGGUCCAUACACUUGAAC
Molecule: long non-coding RNA, 382 nt
Filed under: Mytilus galloprovincialis (Mediterranean mussel)
Lineage: Eukaryota; Metazoa; Mollusca; Bivalvia; Mytilida; Mytilidae
Source: RNAcentral